This is a non-coding RNA of Pelobates cultripes (western spadefoot toad), 1134 nucleotides long. The record is from the annotation of a GenBank genome assembly. NCBI's taxonomy places the organism in Eukaryota, Metazoa, Chordata, Amphibia, Anura, Pelobatidae.
ACAAUAUAAAACAAAAAAACUCUCCCGCCCAAAAACCUUUUUUUUUUUUUUUUAGAACACCUUAAUAAAUCUCCAUGAGUAAAUAUAUUGGAAACGUGGGGUGGAGCCUGACCUUUGACUCAUUCAGACGCGCGCAGCACAAGCUCCUACUUGCGGUCUACUUGGGUGACCACUUUUCCUGCUCCUAAACUCACCUAACUGUCAUGCUGCUCUCCUAACACCCCAAUUGCCUGGACCGGUGGGGGUUAUCCCAGUCCCCACUCGAUUGCCAUUGAUUGCUUUAGCAGCACUUACUCUUUGCUGUUCCAAGGACAACACUCAGCAACAUAGGAUGGUGGACGCACUCCCUCUGAGUGCACAGGAGCCGAGUCUGUCUCAAAAAGCUCUCCACAGUUCUACUGGUCAAUGCCUGUUACGAUUGUAAGAGAUAUUUAGAUGCUUCUGGACACAGGUACACAUGCGUGAACAGGAGGUCCGGAAUGUGCCUCAGGAGGGAGCCAAAGGCGGAAGUCCCCUCCAAGCAUUAAGCAGCCAUCUACUUGACCACCUGCCCACCGGUAUAAACCAAGGCCCGGCGGAGGCCUUACAAUGUGCUUUCAGGUGUGGAAAAUCCACCGUCGUCAGCAGCAAACUAUCACUACAGCUGUCAACUACCAGCAGGAGGGGUAGGUAGUGUCAAGUGAAAACUGCCGAGUCCAAGGAGUGGUGAAGUUGGCUCUUAUGUGGGUUUGGGACUAGAGGAGCUGCACCUUCAACACCAGUCUGCGACCAGUCCCAAGCAGGACUUCCCUGACUGCGCUAUAGUUUUGCCACCUAUGGGGUUGGCUGAGCCGAGCUUCAGGCCUAACGCUAGAGAUAUAGGCCCCUCUAAUAAUGGCGAACUCCACCUUCUCUGUACUAAUUUUACUUUGUCUGGUGCAGCGUUUAGCCUGAUUAGCCUGUUAUUACCUUUAAAAAGUUGUGCUGUUAUUUCAGUGCCAUGCUUCUGUAUUACUCUGCUUGAUAUUAAUAUUGUGCCUGUUUUUGCUGCUGUGGCAUUGCAAGUUCCUUUUUAUCUUAUGGACAGCAAAAAUUAAGAUUUAAAAAAAUAAAUAAAAUGUAUAUAUUGGAAACAUGACAUUUUCAUAAAUAAAG